UGUGUGCCUCCGUGUUUUUUCACGGUCCCAUUGACUUGAAUGGGACAGGUCAUAUUUUUUUGACGGACUGGAACCACAGAUGACGGAUGCGGGUGACAAACGGUGCUUUAGCCGAGUUUUUAACGGACCCAUUGAAAGUCAUUGGGUCCGCAGAAAAUCACG
Molecule: long non-coding RNA, 162 nt
Organism: Bufo bufo (common toad)
Lineage: Eukaryota; Metazoa; Chordata; Amphibia; Anura; Bufonidae
Exons: 2
Source: RefSeq, a predicted model, not a curated record